CUUGAACCGCAUGGUUCAAGGAUGAAGACGGUUUCGGCUGUCACUUACAGAUGGACCCGCGGCGCAUUAGCUAGUUGGUGGGGUAAUGGCUCACCAAGGCGACGAUGCGUAGCCGACCUGAGAGGGUGAUCGGCCACACUGGGACUGAGACAGGCCCAGACUCCUACGGGAGGCAGCAGUAGGGAAUCUUCCGCAAUGGACGAAAGUCUGACGGAGCAACGCCGCGUGAGUGAUGAAGGUUUUCGGAUCGUAAAGCUCUGUUGUUAGGGAAGAACAAGUCGAGAGUAACUGCUCGCACCUUGACGGUACCUAACCAGAAAGCCACGGCUAACUACGUGCCAGCAGCCGCGGUAAUACGUAGGUGGCAAGCGUUGUCCGGAAUUAUUGGGCGUAAAGGGCUCGCAGGGGUUUCUUAAGUCUGAUGUGAAAGCCCCCGGCUCAACCGGGGAGGGUCAUUGGAAACUGGGAAACUUGAGUGCAGAAGAGGAGAGUGGAAUUCCACGUGUAGCGGUGAAAUGCGUAGAGAUGUGGAGAACACCAGUGGCGAAGGCGACUCUCUGGUCUGUAACUGACGCUGAGGAGCGAAAGCGUGGGGAGCGAACAGGAUUAGAUACCCUGGUAGUCCACGCCGUAAACGAUGAGUGCUAAGUGUUAGGGGGUCCGCCCCUUAGUGCUGCAGCUAACGCAUUAAGCACUCCGCCUGGGGAGUACGGUCGCAAGACUGAAACUCAAAGGAAUUGACGGGGGCCCGCACAAGCGGUGGAGCAUGUGGUUUAAUUCGAAGCAAGCGAAGAACCUUACCAGGUCUUGACAUCCUCUGACAACCCUAGAGAUAGGGCUUUCCCUUCGGGGACAGAGUGACAGGUGGUGCAUGGUUGUCGUCAGCUCGUGUCGUGAGAUGUUGGGUUAAGUCCGCAACGAGCGCAACCCUUGAUCUUAGUUGCCAGCAUUCAGUUGGGCACUCUAAGGUGACUGCCGGUGACAAACCGGAGGAAGGUGGGGAUGACGUCAAAUCAUCAUGCCCCUUAUGACCUGGGCUAC
RNAcentral lists this ribosomal RNA (1041 nucleotides) under Bacillus safensis. RNAcentral's name for it is "bacterial SSU rRNA". It matches the Rfam family "Bacterial small subunit ribosomal RNA", at positions 180 to 1217 of the family's 1533-position model. The record is from RNAcentral. Lineage: Bacteria; Bacillati; Bacillota; Bacilli; Caryophanales; Bacillaceae.